This 253-nucleotide ribosomal RNA is filed under the name uncultured bacterium. RNAcentral describes it as "partial 16S ribosomal RNA". It matches the Rfam family "Bacterial small subunit ribosomal RNA", at positions 524 to 776 of the family's 1533-position model. The record is from RNAcentral.
UACGGGGGGGGCAAGCGUUGUUCGGAAUUACUGGGCGUAAAGGGCUCGUAGGUGGCCAACUAAGUCAGACGUGAAAUCCCUCAGCUUAACUGGGGAACUGCGUCUGAUACUGGAUGGCUUGAGUUCGGGAGAGGGGUGCGGAAUUCCAGGUGUAGCGGUGAAAUGCGUAGAUAUCUGGAGGAACACCGGUGGCGAAGGCGGCAUCCUGGACCGACACUGACACUGAGGAGCGAAAGCCAGGGGAGCAAACGGG